AAAGAUUUAUCUUCUUCAGAGGAAUUUGGAACAGAAGUAGGAAGAAAGUAGGAAACGGGGGAGCUUGGUCUGAUGGUACUCUGGAUGCUUCCUCCAGCUAAAACAGAAAGCUCUUUCCACGUGCCAGCCCAUGCUAAAGGGCUUUACAUGCGUGAUUCUCAGAACAGCCCAUUGAGAUCUCUCUGUUGGAAGUCUCUGAGUGGAGGAAUUCGUCUGCUGUGAUCCCAGCACCUAGAACAGGGCUCAGCCCAUAGGCGUGACCUAAUUUGGAGAAAAACAUCUUUGCAGAUGUGA
Long non-coding RNA from Neomonachus schauinslandi (Hawaiian monk seal), 294 nucleotides. RefSeq lists it as uncharacterized. The transcript is spliced from 4 exons. The record is from RefSeq and is a predicted model, not a curated record. NCBI's taxonomy places the organism in Eukaryota, Metazoa, Chordata, Mammalia, Carnivora, Phocidae.